GAGUUUGAUCAUGGCUCAGGACAAACGCUGGCGGGGUGCAUGAGACAUGCAAGUCGAACGGGGUUGAGCGGGCUUGCUCGAUCAACCUAGUGGCGGACGGCUGAGUAACGCGUAGGUGACCUGCCCGGAAGUGGGGAAUAACUGCCCGAAAGGGUGGCUAAUACCGCAUGUGGUCGGCGAUUCGGUUCGCCGUGCAAAGCCGCAAGGCGCUUCCGGAGGGGCCUGCGUCCGAUUAGCUAGUUGGUGGGGUAACGGCUCACCAAGGCGACGAUCGGUAGCUGGUCUGAGAGGAUGAUCAGCCAGACUGGGACUGAGAACGGCCCAGACUCCUACGGGAGGCAGCAGUCGGGAAUUUUGCCCAAUGGACGAAAGUCUGAGGCAGCAACUCCGCGUGAGGGACGAAGGCCUUCGGGUCGUAAACCUCUUUACUCAGGGAAGAUACAAGACGGUACCUGAGGAAUAAGACCACGGCUAACUACGUGCCAGCCGCCGCCGU
RNAcentral lists this ribosomal RNA (496 nucleotides) under uncultured bacterium. RNAcentral describes it as "bacterial SSU rRNA". It matches the Rfam family "Bacterial small subunit ribosomal RNA", at positions 9 to 521 of the family's 1533-position model. The record is from RNAcentral.